UGGGGAAUAUUGGACAAUGGGGGCAACCCUGAUCCAGCAAUGCCGCGUGUGUGAAGAAGGCCUUAGGGUUGUAAAGCACUUUAGGCUGGGAGGAAGGUAUGAAGUUUAAGAGAUAUUACAUUUGACUGUACCGGCAGAAUAAGCACCGGCUAACUCUGUGCCAGCAGCCGCGGUAAUACAGAGGGUGCGAGCGUUAAUCGGAGUUACUGGGCGUAAAGGGCGCGUAGGCGGUUUGUUAAGUGAUAUGUGAAAUCCCUGGGCUUAACCUAGGAACUGCAUGUCAUACUGGCGAGCUAGAGUAUUGUAGAGGGUAGUGGAAUUUCCGGUGUAGCGGUGAAAUGCGUAGAGAUCGGAAGGAACACCAGUGGCGAAGGCGGCUACCUGGACAAAUACUGACGCUGAGGCGCGAAAGCGUGGGGAGCAAACAGGAUUAGAUACCCCCGUAGUCC
This 449-nucleotide ribosomal RNA is filed under the name uncultured bacterium. Its description in RNAcentral is "bacterial SSU rRNA". It matches the Rfam family "Bacterial small subunit ribosomal RNA", at positions 355 to 796 of the family's 1533-position model. The record is from RNAcentral.